This 724-nucleotide long non-coding RNA is filed under the name Rattus norvegicus (Norway rat). Its description in RNAcentral is "long non-coding RNA NONRATT021257". Lineage: Eukaryota; Metazoa; Chordata; Mammalia; Rodentia; Muridae. The record is from RNAcentral.
UCUCCUCACCUCCGAAGGCUGUUCGUCACUCCUGCUUCAUGUGCUGUUGUGUUGAGGAAGGCAACAGUUUACUUUGGAACUUUACUCGUGAUCUUCUGCGUAGAACUGGCUUGUGGUGUGUGGACAUACGAGCAGGAAGUUAUGGUGCCAGUACAGUGGUCAGAUAUGGUUACUUUGAAAGCCAGAAUGACAAAUUACGGCUUACCCAGGUAUAGGUGGCUUACGCAUGCUUGGAACUAUUUUCAGAGAGAGUUUAAGUGCUGCGGAGUGGUCUACUUCACCGAUUGGUUGGAAAUGACAGAAAUGGACUGGCCCCCAGACUCCUGCUGUGUUAGGGAGUUCCCAGGAUGCUCCAAGCAGGCUCACCAGGAAGACCUCAGUGACCUGUACCAAGAGGGUUGUGGGAAGAAAAUGUAUUCCUUUUUGAGAGGAACCAAACAAUUGCAAGUACUAAGGUUUCUGGGGAUCUCCAUUGGUGUGACACAAAUUCUAGCCAUGAUUCUCACCAUUACUCUGCUCUGGGCUCUGUAUUAUGAUAGAAGGGAGCCUGGGACAGACCAAAUGCUAUCUCUAAAAAAUGAUGCGUCACAACACUUGUCCUGUCACUCUGUGGAACUGUUAAAACCAAGCCUUUCUAGGAUCUUUGAACAUACAUCAAUGGCAAACAGCUUCAAUACCCACUUUGAGAUGGAAGAAUUAUGAAGAAUGUCAAAGAAGGAAAUCA